AGGUUCUUCUGCUGGUGAUCUCUCCUUUGUGGAGUUUUUUCUUUGGAGAUGGAACCUUGUGAGCAGUGCAUCUCUCUGAGGAAGAGCCCUGCCUCGAUACCUGCAUUAAGGGGUAGCAACACACAUUGAUGGGAACAGAGCUCUGCAGUCUGAUAGGAGUGGCCGCAGUGGGAUCUGUCCUUCCUGCUGCCCGGAGCUGAAGCUGGGCCUUGUUGCUUGUAUCAUCGACUGCAGCAGAUGCAUUGUCUUGCUCUGGGUUCCAUCACACUGUGAAGUGGAAGUGGCAUCACGGAGCAGCCCUGCACGGAGCAGCCCUGCAUCACCUCCUGGCAACCAAAGCCCCUGCUUGGCAGAUUCUGUGGAAAGCAUCAGUCCCCAGAUGCUCCGGGUUCUCCUCGGCUCUGUGAUAAUGAACACACACCCAGCAGACGAGCAGGCAGUGCUGCUCCUGCCCAGCCUCGCUCCUGGAGGUGGCUCAGUGCGUCGGAUCCAGGGCUGACCUGAGUGUCAGUUCUCUGCUGGAGACGGCAGCAGCUCAUAACAGCCAUUGCUCCAUGGCGUCGUGCUGCCACUUCAGUCAACAGCCUGCAUUUUCCAGCAGAGUUGAUGUAAAAGAUCAAUGACUUGCAUGAAGAUGUGUAAGGAUGCAAAGGCACAGAGAUGCUCCGCUGCUGCUUCCAGGAGCUGAGGUGUUGAAGACAUAAAUCCAUACAACAGAGGAGCAUCGCAUGGGAAACACUGCCUUCAGGAGAGUUGUAAUGGGUAAACUCGGGCUGAACUGAAUGCUGGCUUCUUUCCAGGUAAGUCACCCUCAGCAGAGAAGCCCAUUUGUUUUGAACGGUGUUGUUUUUUAGCUGGUGGUGGGUGGCUCCAUCCUGCAGAGCUGCCUGUGUUCAUAGAGCUAAUGUGAGCCAGGAGAAAAGGAAAGUUCUGCCAGAGGCUUGCUGAUACAAUGCUCGGGUCAUUCACAGAGUGCUGUAACAGCUGUAACAACCCAUUGUAUUUCCUGCAGACUGAGGUAUGGCUCUGCUUGUUUGGAUGCCUCUGAAUUCUUCAGUCCUGCAGAAUUCCAGUUUGGAACCUGGCUCCCCAUCCCUGGGCAGUCCUGCAGUUCCCACCAGCGGCACAUCACCUCCAGCACGUUUUCCCGAGUAGGGAUGCAGCUCUCAGCUCAGUGCUGCAAUGCUGUUUUUGUCUCUUCUCCAUUUCUUCUUAUUGCUCAGUAAAUAGUAAAAGCAUUCCUAAUUGGAAAAAGAGGCUUCAAAGAAGAAAUUGCUUCUUAUUCACUACAUUCCCCCACACUUGGGAUAUCGAUGUACUUUUUGGUAAGCCCCCCCUCCCCUUUUUUAAGGAAAAGUGGAGUUCCAGCUUCUAUUUGUGCAUAAUCUGCUGAGCAGCAAGGGGAGAUGGCAUAAAAAGAAAUCUCUGGAGUAACACAGGGAGAAAAACAAACUGAUAACUCCUGACAGAUUGAUGGCUCCUUCCUUCAUCUAAAUCUUUACAGAUUAGCAUGUCUCUUCUUUCACAGAUAUGUUUGUUUGAACUAUGUCAUCUAACCUAAUCUGUACAGGAAGUAUAUUUAUCCUAGAGCAGCGGGGCAUUUGUACUGCUUGCUUGUCACCAAGAGUAAUGAACAGGAGAGUGUUUUGCUGAUGAAGCUGACAAUCUCCAGAAGCUGCUUCCUGCCUUUGUUUGGUGACCAGCCCUCCUGCACGUGAGACAAGUUAUCCUCUGCUGUUUGGUAUUCAGCUGUGGAAGGAGUCCUCCCGCAGUCCUGCCAGGUGUCCUGGUUUCUCUGCAUCUGAUUCUCCCUUUUUCAGUAACUUUGGUUACUUCCUUUGCUACCUUUCAUCUACCGAUUUCGUAGCACUCUACGAUUGUCAGGAGUCAUUUGAAUUCUGAUCCUGCCCUCAGAAGUCCCUGCAACCCUUCCAGCCAUCACCAAUUGUACCCGUGUCACCUCUGCUGCAGCACUGGAGCCUGCACAGGGGCACCUGGGAGCCAUUCAGCCGCUCUUCAUCUUCACAGGGGGCACUCGGAACACUUUGGUGAUUUUCACUGUAUUUUUAUGUUAAUUUUAUUUAGACUUUGCUUGUUGAGCUUUACUUGUGAGCCCACAUUCGGGAGUUGUGCAUGGCACCUUGCUCAGGUGUUGUGUUUUGGCAGCAAUGAGCUCGUUUUCCCCCCCCAGCACAUUCCCUCCCUGCCAUGGCCUAACCCUAACCCUGACCCCUUCCCUGCCCAAAUCCUCCUGAGGUUUGACUUCUUUUACUGUUUAUUUCCUCUUGAGAAAUGUGUAAACUCACCUUGGCUACACCUCUUGGGCCACUGCCUCUCUCCAAGAUGACGACAACCUGACUGGAUUACUGGUGUUACAAGGCCAUGUGAAACCAAAUCUUUCCUGUGUUGUAGAUUUCACUGAAAAUCUAACUUGAAAAUCUCAUUUGCUGCUGAAAAGAUCUUACCCUUACAAAGGAGAUUAGUCCUGUUCAGAAGUUUUUGGACAACUGUUUACCACAUCCAAGGCAGAGAAGUUCUUUGGGAUCCUCCAUGUGACUUGAGUGGGAGUUCAAGCAAACCUUCUGCCACAAAGAUAGCCAAAAUCAAUACUUUGAUUCAUCCCAGGGAAUGGAAAGUGUGAUAAUGUGCUGAAUGCUACUUUGGCUUCUGAUGUACUUCUUACAUUAUAAGAACUGAUGAAGCAUUUAAUGGGAGAGUAGAGAAAAAACAACGAAUCAGGGAGUGUUCCCCUAGGCUGCUGAGUGCAUGUGGUGUGAUAAAAUGCCAUUAUUAAUCUCAGCUGGGGGCAAAUGAUGGAUUCACAGUAGAAGGAAUCAAAGCCCAUGCAAACAAACCACAAGCACUUGGAAAAACAUCUCAAACAUAAAUGCAAAAAUUACAGAUGUUACAUGAAGCUCUGUGGGAAAUGGUCCUGAAUACAGCCAAGCGCUGAGCAAACUGUUGAAUGCAAUUAUUUCUCUUCUCUCUCCUUCCUCGGGUGUCUCUCAGCCAGGUGUGCUGUUCCCCAUUCCCAGUUGCUUUGCUGCACUGCUGCUCCCCUUUGCAUAGCCUGCAGUCUCUCCCUCGUGUCCCGCUUUGUUUACAGUGCAGGAGCCAGGGCUGCACAUUGCCUUCCUGCAGGGGCAGAGGUGGCAGAGCUCCCAGCCCCAUGGCCACGGUUCCCCCGGGCCUUGGGGAGCUGUGGGUCUGUCCCUGCUGGGGCUCUGCUCAGUGCUGUGUGCUGAAGAGCAGCAGCUUGGGAAGGCCAUCCAGAAAAGGUACUUCUGCAAUGCUGUGAUUAGUUUGGGCUGAGUACAUAUUAUUAAUUUAAUCUUAAAUCAAUUUAGAGCGUAAAUAACGAAGCACCUCUUGAGCCAGCAAGAGUCGAGGUGUGUAGUGCAGCAUAUGGAAUGGAAAGAGCAGCUCCCCUUGUUGUGUCAGUUCCUUGCAGGGCAGCAGUAAGUCACCCUUGUUGCUGGCUCACACUGCUCUCAGAUCCUUGAAGUCAUCUCCCCCCAGCUGAACAUACACCACUGUUGUCAAAGCAACGCCCUCCUCUUCAGAAAGAGCACCGAAUUUCUGCACUGCUUUUAACUUCAACAAAAGAGGGUGCUGCAAAGAGCAAUAGCUGGGGAUGGAAGUUACUCUUCCACUGACUCGGAUGAACUGCUGCAAAGAGAAACCUCCGAGAGCCGAGGGUUCCCUGUCUGCAGCCUUCUGGUGCUGAAAAGGAGCUGGGUAAAUCUUCCUUCAUUCCCAUGCAGAUAUCACCUCGUAUUUCUGAUCUGAAUUUCACAUUCUGUCUUCUGGGAACUGUGAUGCUUUUUUGCUCUGAAAUGAUGCAAUUACAAUGAUAUGUGUGCUGCUACCGCUGCUCUCCUGCACUGAGGGCCACGUUUUCUAACUCCUGAGACGAUAUGGGGAGGUUUAGCACAAUUGCAUCCAAUAAAACCAACCGCUGCUAUGAUGGCAAAGCUCUUCACAAUGCCUCAGAUCUGUAAGUCACACAUGAAGCCCAUCAGUUUUCUGUAGCUGUUGGAUGGGAAUGAAACAGAGAUCAGUCAUUCAGCACAGCACCUGACCGCCCUCUGCCCCUCCAUGGAGUGCUGCUCGCUGUGCUCUGGCCCACCUCACCUUGGGCUGCACAUGCGGCUGUGAUCCCCUGUGGGGUGUUAUUUCACAACAGGAAAUUCUGUGCUCUGAACAGCCAGAAUCCCUCGUCAGCACACUGUUAAACAAAUACGGUCUUUUUCUGAUGGUCAGAUUUAUAAGGUUGAUUGCGACUGUCUGGAGAGGGACUUGAGCUGUGUGAGCUGUUGGCUCAGUGCUGUUGCUCCUGCUGUCCCUCUCUCCUGUUUUCCUUGCACGCAGGCAGCCUUCCCUGUAAUGAAUGGCCCUGUGCCCACCAUCGCUUCGUUGCAGCAUCAGGAAGAAACAGAUAGAUGUUGCCAUUUACCUGGGUGGCUGAGAAGCAAUUUCAAGCGAUGGAAGUUUGGGCCCAGCAGUGUUCAUCAUGUCGGCUCUAGGAGAGAAAUUAGUCACAGUCUCUGCUGAAGGUGUUGUUUGCAGUCCCUCCUGGUUUCCUACGGACCAGGCUGUGCAGAAAGCUAUGGAAGCAGUGGCACAUUCAGGCUGCAGGACAGCAUGGCUGAGAGUUUGGAACUCUAUUCCUACUCCUGCUUUUCUGACUGAAAGGAUGGAAGUGCACCACACAUGCCUUCAAGGUCUGGAGAUUUCUCUGAGUCAGCUUAAUGUAAACUAAAAUUCAUUCCUUAACCUGCAUGGCUUCUGCUGAGGGACCACUGCUCCUCUGCCCAGUGCUGUGACAGAAAUUUCCUGUGCUUUUUUGAGGUAAGAGCAAAAAUAUUUGAGUUGUUCUUACACGUGUACUGUUUGCCCAUACUGAUGGAAAGAAUGUUCUGUGCUUACCAUAACUGCUAGCAGCACAGAUUUCAUAGGAUGAAAGAGCAAAACAACACAGAAGUGUCGGGGGUUUCAGCCGGAGGAGACUGAACUCCAUACAGAGAGUUCUGUAGGUGUAGCUCCCAGCUAUCUGUUGCCUCAUCAAAGAUGCACUGUACAAAGAUUUCUGGUCUGUGCUCUGGCCUUGAAUGGAGGUUUGUGGCUGCUCGUGCCAUGCUUCCCUUUCAUCUCAAGGUAACAGGAAAAUUACUUCUGCUGCUCCUUCCUCUUCAUAUUCAUUCAUCAUUUCCAUAUGGUAACUGUGCCGUGGUGCCGCGUGCUGUGCAGCUCAGCUGCGCUGGGAGCUGCCAACGUUAGAAUCAAUUUUUGCUCUGAAGCAGCAGUGAGGAGCUGCUUCGUAUCGCGCUGCAAGGAAAUGAGCACUGGCUCGAAAGCAGUUGGUUCUGUUUUCCCAUUCCUCAUAUCUCCUUGGGAUCUUGGAAAGUUUUUUUGAUCAUCUUGGACUGAAAGUAUGAGCUUUUGAUGAUUUUCUAUGGAUACCAUUUGGGGGUUACUUUUCUGUGUAUAGCCAAUAGCAUAUUUUGUGGGGUCACAGUUCACAGUUGUGAAUCAACUUACUUCAUUUCUGCCACUACUGAGUCCAAAUGCGAGGAGCUGUGUGAUAAUUGCAGGGUGGAAUGGUAAAGUCUGGCACAGAUCUGACUUUUUAGUUUCCCUGUUGUGUGUCACAAGUCAGUCUAACUAACAUGCAGGUGUUUUGGUCUACAGCUGGUGGCUGCCAUGGUGAUGCCAAAGGGCUCAGAUCUGCAGUUAAUAAAGACCCAGACAUGGGUCGAUGGAGCUCUUCUAUCCCCUCUGAUAAAGAGAUACCUGGGAGCACAGCAAGCUUCUCCUGCUGAGACAGAGAAAGUGGUUGUGGACCAGCUGGUCUGUCUGGGCCAGGGCAGCAGUACCCAAAGGUUUCUGUGCCUGGGCAGUGGUGGUAGCAGAAGAUAGGGGCAUGUGAGCCCCCAUCUCUGGGUUGGGCCUGGGUCUGGGCCAGGAACAUCCCAGGACAGCUGCCCUGGAGCUGGAGGUGUUGGCUCCAACUUUGGAGCCAGGUGCUGUCUGGGGGUUGAUGGGGGGAGCAGCACCAGCACUGGGCCAGUUUGUGUUUCUCACCACUGCCAACAGAAUUGCUUCCCCACAUCGUGCUGCACUGGGAUCCCAGCUCUGUGCCACAGCCAGAAUCCCACUGCAGGAGAGGGGGCUGUCUGACGCCAAGAACACGACUGGCAGUGCUGAGGCGGCGGCUUUCCAAACCAGAAUGUUACUGACUGCCAUGUGGGAGCUCAGCUCUCCCCCAGCCCUCACUGCUGUCUGUUCCUCUGGAGCACUCAGGAGGCUCUGCAGGCUGCACCCACAGGAGGGAUUGCACUCAUGGAUCAGAUGCCACAGCACAGACAGGAAAGCUGGGCACAGCAAAACACGGAGAAGCAGAGGCAGAAGAUGUAGGGAAAAAAAGAAAGAUAUUUGAAUUUGUUACUAGGAGGAGUGAAAUAAACAUGGGAACAUUUCCCAGGAGCAGAGCUUGUUAUGGUAUAUCUGUAAAAUGGCAGAGGGUCACAUGGAUGGUAUUUGCAGAAACAUGUCACUCUCAGCCAUGAGCUGUGGUGCUGCUGCUCUGUGCCAGCUGGAUGAAACACACCAGAGAAAUUCACUGCACAGAGCUGUGCAUUUCCAACGUGUCAUGGUGAAAGAUUAUUGCAGCCACAGCGUUUAAGUACAGUCAUUUGACAAAGGCAAUUAUGAGAAUAUUAAUUGGGAAAGGUUAACUUCGAAGAACUGUGGAAUGUUUGCUCCCAUUGGUAUUGAAGUGCGGUUGCAGGUAUCUCUUGCUAAGAAACUUGAAGUCUGGGUGCACAUUAACACAAGGCACAUUUCCAUCUCUUCACAGCAAUGACUUGGCCUGCACGAUUUGGAUUCAGAACGAAAUACACAGAGUGCAGACAGUCACUGCAGGACGGGGCUCCGGCAGUUGGCACAAAUGAGUGAGUCCAGGCUCUGCUUUCGUACAGAUCCCUGGGACCUCACAUUAGGAAACCCCCCCUCCUGUAGCAGCAUCUUGUCAGCACGUGCACUGAGAAAUACCCACCUUUAAGCUGGUGCUUCCAUACAGGCGCUCACACAGUGCUCUCACACACUUCAUAUAAAAAUGUGUCUCCAUUCUUUGAGGAACAAACACAACACUUUUACUUGGUUUGACCCACUCAGGUCCCUCUGUGCCAGGCAGUACUGGAAACACUGGGAGCAGCCCAUGGGACCAAGCUGUGCUCGGACGUGAUGGCCCUGAUGUGCCUGUACUGCCCCAGAGCAGUGCUGGCAGGGGUCUGAAUGGCACUGCACCCCUGGGUGCAUCUCUGGUCUCUAAUCUGUCAAAAAUCGUGCAUGCAGGAGUUACCAGGAAGCGUAUCCUGGGACAGAUGGUGCCAAAGAAGUGUGCUCUGUGUCAUGUUGC
This is a long non-coding RNA of Lagopus muta (rock ptarmigan), 7420 nucleotides long. RefSeq lists it as uncharacterized. NCBI's taxonomy places the organism in Eukaryota, Metazoa, Chordata, Aves, Galliformes, Phasianidae. The record is from RefSeq and is a predicted model, not a curated record. The transcript is spliced from 11 exons.